Molecule: non-coding RNA, 1998 nt
Organism: Macaca mulatta (Rhesus monkey)
Lineage: Eukaryota; Metazoa; Chordata; Mammalia; Primates; Cercopithecidae
Source: RefSeq, a predicted model, not a curated record
UAUCAAUAAGUUUGUAUCUAGGAUUUAAUGAAUCUCAGGAAUUUUUAUAAACUGCUGCAAGUCAAAGUCAAGAGACAGUAUUUGCAGGAAGCAGUGUUUCAAGGGUUGAAAUGCUAUACCUGGUUCUGGCCAGAAACUCUGAAGUUCUCUUCUUGUUUUCAGAUACUGGAAUAUUCUUCAUGUAAUGCAGUAUCACUUUUGUGUGAAGUCACAUGUAACUUGUCCCCCUCCUUUCUAUCACGAGAACUACUGAAGAUAUAAACCAAAUCCAGGUACAGAAAAAUCUCAAUAAUUCAGGCUAUGGAGAAAGCCAGUGGGAGCCAUUGCGAAGCCUGAAUUCUAGAGCACUAGGGUAUGGUAUAUGUGUUUUUUAAAAACGUACAUUCAAUAAUAUAAAGUAAGUCAACCAAGUAUUAUUGACUUUUGCUAGUACUUGGUGGGGAGGAAGCUAAAUUAAUGAUAUAUGAAAAUACCUUACAAUCGCAUAUUACAUAUUGAUUUGUCCUCAGAAGGAAGAUAAACAUUUUUUCCUAUGAGAUUACUUAUACAUUAUUUUCUUAAUUCACUUUUUCAGAGCACUUUCAAUUGAAUUUCAGGCAAAAUGCAAUCUAGGCCUAGUCCAGCUAAAUGCAAACUUUGGAUUUGUAGGUCUACAUUUUUUAUUGCAAAACUUAAAAGCAUUCUUAUAUCCACCAUUGUAGAGUUACUCUAACAUUCUUCAAAAUUUUAUCAGAGACUUCUUGCUGUUUUUAGGUGUCAAGAUACUAAUUGCUUUUUACAAUGUGCUGUGACUCAUGCCUAAUCACUUUCCUUUAAUGACUCAAGCAGGGAAACCAGUGAUAUUUGUGAAUAGUAGAUGGGAUAAAAGGAGCUGGACACAUUCUUUCUUCAACAUCUGCCAUGAUAUGAUUUCAUAAGCAAGAAAUGUGCCAAGGCUUCUGCCCAAGAAUAUAAACUACAUGGACACAUCAUGGGGACUCCCCUGCCUUCAAGCUCCCAUGGGGUUUCAACCAAUGAAGACAAGAAGAAAGAGAGAUUGAGAGUGGCUGGAAAAUUGGGAUCGAGACAAGCCGUGUAGAAGAGCACGCUUCUCAGUUUGGCAAGCUGCGACAGAUCGAACCGGGCACAGAGAGAUUUGCACAGGUCCUGAUAAGAAACGGUAUUUUGCUUGCUGUCCAGUUCCUCCAAGAUCUUCACCAAGAAGAGGGAAGUUUCCUGAUUGGUCUCCAUGAUUUAUUACUUGAAAAGCUCGCUGACUACACUGAAACUUCAGGUCAGUUCUGUGGUGGCAAUAUUGAGAAAGAGAGGAGGAAAAGAGGAUUAUAAACACCAGUGGAGUUUGAAGUCAAGCUUCUUAUAAACCGUAUAGAGAAAUACAAAGAAAAACAUUUUAAUGAUUAAAAAUGUAGUAAGGACAGUAAAAAUAUUCAUAACAUUCGAUUUAGUAAUUUCCUUCCUGGGAACCUACCUUAAUGAUUAAUGAUAACAAUUAUGCUUAAAGGUGUUCACUAUGAUGGCACUUAUAAUAAUGAGAAAGCAAAACAUCUUAAAUAUCCAAAUAAGUGAAUACAUAAACAUGUUAUGAUAUACCAUGAAUUUCUACAAACAUUAAACUACAUUAAUGUACAUUCUUACAAUGGAAUACUACUCAUCAGCAAAAAAGAAUAAACCACUAGUAUAUGCAAGGACAUGGAUGAAUCUCGAAUGUAUUGUGUGUGGGUGGAAGAAGCCAGAGUCAGAAGGUACAUCCUCCACUGCAUGAUUCCAUCUUAAUGACAUUCUGGAAGACAGAUCAGUAGUUGCCGAGAGCUGGAUGUGAGGAGGGGGGUGGACCUCAAAGGGGCACAGAGAAGUUUUCCUAAAUGAUAUAAUUGUUCUACAUCCUGGUUGUGGUGGUGGUUACAUGACUGUAGGCAUUUGUCAAAACUCACAGGACUCUAAACUAGAAAGUGUAAGUUUUACUGUACAUAAAUAAUAACUCAACUUAGAAAUUACAUA